CCUGUUGUUUAAAUACUUUCUGGUGUAAUGU
RNAcentral lists this non-coding RNA (31 nucleotides) under Rattus norvegicus (Norway rat). Lineage: Eukaryota; Metazoa; Chordata; Mammalia; Rodentia; Muridae. The record is from RNAcentral.